RNAcentral lists this ribosomal RNA (779 nucleotides) under Brevundimonas vesicularis. RNAcentral's name for it is "bacterial SSU rRNA". It matches the Rfam family "Bacterial small subunit ribosomal RNA", at positions 55 to 882 of the family's 1533-position model. The record is from RNAcentral. Lineage: Bacteria; Pseudomonadati; Pseudomonadota; Alphaproteobacteria; Caulobacterales; Caulobacteraceae.
AUGCAGUCGAACGAACUCUUCGGAGUUAGUGGCGGACGGGUGAGUAACACGUGGGAACGUGCCUUUAGGUUCGGAAUAACUCAGGGAAACUUGUGCUAAUACCGAAUGUGCCCUUCGGGGGAAAGAUUUAUCGCCUUUAGAGCGGCCCGCGUCUGAUUAGCUAGUUGGUGAGGUAAAGGCUCACCAAGGCGACGAUCAGUAGCUGGUCUGAGAGGAUGAUCAGCCACAUUGGGACUGAGACACGGCCCAAACUCCUACGGGAGGCAGCAGUGGGGAAUCUUGCGCAAUGGGCGAAAGCCUGACGCAGCCAUGCCGCGUGAAUGAUGAAGGUCUUAGGAUUGUAAAAUUCUUUCACCGGGGACGAUAAUGACGGUACCCGGAGAAGAAGCCCCGGCUAACUUCGUGCCAGCAGCCGCGGUAAUACGAAGGGGGCUAGCGUUGCUCGGAAUUACUGGGCGUAAAGGGAGCGUAGGCGGACAUUUAAGUCAGGGGUGAAAUCCCGGGGCUCAACCUCGGAAUUGCCUUUGAUACUGGGUGUCUUGAGUAUGAGAGAGGUGUGUGGAACUCCGAGUGUAGAGGUGAAAUUCGUAGAUAUUCGGAAGAACACCAGUGGCGAAGGCGACACACUGGCUCAUUACUGACGCUGAGGCUCGAAAGCGUGGGGAGCAAACAGGAUUAGAUACCCUGGUAGUCCACGCCGUAAACGAUGAUUGCUAGUUGUCGGGAUGCAUGCAUUUCGGUGACGCAGCUAACGCAUUAAGCAAUCCGCCUGGGGAGUA